RNAcentral lists this ribosomal RNA (461 nucleotides) under uncultured bacterium. Its description in RNAcentral is "partial 16S ribosomal RNA". It matches the Rfam family "Bacterial small subunit ribosomal RNA", at positions 28 to 506 of the family's 1533-position model. The record is from RNAcentral.
GACGAACGCUGGCGGCGUGCUUAACACAUGCAAGUCGAACGGAAAGGCCCUUCGGGGUACUCGAGUGGCGAACGGGUGAGUAACACGUGGGUGAUCUGCCCUGCACUUUGGGAUAAGCCUGGGAAACUGGGUCUAAUACCGAAUAGGACCACGCGCUUCAUGGUGUGUGGUGGAAAGCUUUUGCGGUGUGGGAUGGGCCCGCGGCCUAUCAGCUUGUUGGUGGGGUAAUGGCCUACCAAGGCGACGACGGGUAGCCGGCCUGAGAGGGUGACCGGCCACACUGGGACUGAGAUACGGCCCAGACUCCUACGGGAGGCAGCAGUGGGGAAUAUUGCACAAUGGGCGCAAGCCUGAUGCAGCGACGCCGCGUGAGGGAUGACGGCCUUCGGGUUGUAAACCUCUUUCAAUAGGGACGAAGCGCAAGUGACGGUACCGAUAGAAGAAGCACCGGCCAACUACGU